UACAGAGGUCUCAAGCGUUGUUCGGAUUCAUUGGGCGUAAAGGGCGCGUAGGCGGCGGGGUAAGUCUGAUGUGAAAUCUAGGAGCUCAACUCCUAAACUGCACUGGAUACUGCUCUGCUAGAGGACUGGAGAGGAGACUGGAAUUCACGGUGUAGCAGUGAAAUGCGUAGAUAUCGUGAGGAAGACCAGUGGCGAAGGCGGGUCUCUGGACAGUUCCUGACGCUGAGGCGCGAAGGCCAGGGGAGCAAACGGG
This 253-nucleotide ribosomal RNA is filed under the name uncultured bacterium. Its description in RNAcentral is "partial 16S ribosomal RNA". It matches the Rfam family "Bacterial small subunit ribosomal RNA", at positions 524 to 776 of the family's 1533-position model. The record is from RNAcentral.